This is a non-coding RNA of Glycine max (soybean), 223 nucleotides long. NCBI's taxonomy places the organism in Eukaryota, Viridiplantae, Streptophyta, Magnoliopsida, Fabales, Fabaceae. The record is from Rfam.
ACGACCUUACUUGAACAGGAUCUGUUCUAUAGGCUCGUACCUCUGUGUCCUUGAUUUCUAAGGAGACAGGAACCUACGGCUGGUGGAUGAAUCAAGACCCUGUGAUCAGAGCGUGAUUAAUGGCCUGAAGGGCUUCUCUUAGGAGGAGGUUCCCAUCUUUGGGCUGUAGAUGAUCGUUCUCAGGCAUUAUGUCUGGGAUGGUCGCACGGUUGUCUGACAGAGC